Molecule: ribosomal RNA, 556 nt
Filed under: Phomopsis sp. dzdh1
Lineage: Eukaryota; Fungi; Ascomycota; Sordariomycetes; Diaporthales; Diaporthaceae
Description: eukaryotic LSU rRNA
Rfam family: 5.8S ribosomal RNA (bases 181-334)
Source: RNAcentral
GAUUGGCUGGACGCGCUUCGGCGCACCCAGAAACCCUUUGUGAACUUAUACCCAUUGUUGCCUCGGCGUAGGCCGGCCUCUUCACUGAGGCCCCCUGGAAACAGGGAGCAGCCCGCCGGCGGCCAACCAAACUCUUGUUUCUACAGUGAAUCUCUGAGUAAAAAAACAUAAAUGAAUCAAAACUUUCAACAACGGAUCUCUUGGUUCUGGCAUCGAUGAAGAACGCAGCGAAAUGCGAUAAGUAAUGUGAAUUGCAGAAUUCAGUGAAUCAUCGAAUCUUUGAACGCACAUUGCGCCCUCUGGUAUUCCGGAGGGCAUGCCUGUUCGAGCGUCAUUUCAACCCUCAAGCCUGGCUUGGUGAUGGGGCACUGCUUUCGUCCAGAAAGCAGGCCCUGAAAUCUAGUGGCGAGCUCGCCAGGACCCCGAGCGUAGUAGUUAUAUCUCGCUCUGGAAGGCCCUGGCGGUGCCCUGCCGUUAAACCCCCAACUUCUGAAAAUUUGACCUCGGAUCAGGUAGGAAUACCCGCUGAACUUAAGCAUAUCAAUAAGCGGAGGAA